GCCACAGAUCAGAAUGAAUGGAGUACAAGGGCAUCACAAAACAAAUAUGACCUCAUUGAUGUAUCAAAUACAUAAAAAUUGACUGUCUUUUGACACAAUAAGGAAGAUAAGACAGCACCAAUACUGCUGUGAACAACAGCAGUAUUGAAGCUACAAAGAAGACAACUAGUUGCAUUUCUUAAACGUGUUUUAACAAAUCUAUAUUUUGUCAACUGGGCUCUUUCUAAAGUGCUAGGAUCUAUAGCCCAAUUUCCACUUAACAGGGAAGUGAGUAGUGCACCAUUGACACCCCUUUGAGCAAGGAUAAAGAUAUCCAUCUUCACAUCAAGAAAAGAAAAGAUUAAUCCGAAAAGAAAUGGCGAAAUAUUGCUCUGAAAAGGAGUAAAUUGGACCAAAAUGUAAAACGGAGACAAAAGAAAACAAGUAUGGAUGAUAAGGUUCUUCACUCAUAUUGCAUUUGAGCAUACUCUCUAACCAGAAUGCUGAAUGUAUUGUAUUAGCUCUAACAAUUAAAGGUUCGAUAUGCAUGACAGAUCAUGCUCUGCCAAAAAGCUACCAUGUGUCUACUUACUCUCCAUUUGAAAAAUUCUGCACAGGCAUCUUACAGCUAUGUAUCACUUAUAAGCUAAAAUACGGAUAUAAUCUCUACCGUAAUUUAUUUUAAUGGUUUAAUCCCGAAAAGAAAAUCUGUGGACUUUCUCCCAAAUUUCAACUAGGUUGUACUUUAAAAAAUAGACAAGUGUUGGGUGACCAGGCGAUUUAAAGUCANNNUGACCAGGCGAUUUAAAGUCAGUUAAUUAUAUAUAAAAAAUCAAUUUUCCAAUACAGCUGUACAAAGGAUAUAUCAACAAAAAGAUAAAACCACCGGUUUCAGGUUAACAAUUUAUUUGUAUGUUUAUUUAAGACCCAACAGAAGGAGUUCAAACAAAUGAAGUUGACGGUGAUAGGGAAGUAGAUAAAGCAAGUCUUCCAUCAGAAUUCAGAAAAAGCAAAGGACAACCAUUGCAUCCAUAUCUUUAUGCAUUGAAAUACUAUCUAAAUUCUAAAAUGAUUAAAAGGAAAUAAAUAUGUAUGCUUUUUUAUUUUUAUAUAAAAAAGAUUAGAUAAUAUGACUUGAAUUGAUUUAAAGUUGAAGACAGGAUUGAAUAUCAAUGGGUCAAGCGAUCUACUCCAUAGAUUAAUAGAUAACUGAUUAAUUGGUCGAGAAUAAAGGUAGAGUCCCAUUCUGCUGACUUCAGAAAUUGAGGGUUAAAGUCCCUCUAAUUUUCAAGAAUGAUCUUAAGCAAGGAAUAAUAUUCCAUAAGUUCACUGUACAUGUUUUAAUUUGCACGGCAUUAGUGAAUUUAUUGCCUGUUGAUGAUUAUAACAAUGAACUAAUAUAAAGGGUAUAGUUGGUUAUUCACAGAGUAGGCCCCAUAAUAGGAAAUCUGGAAACAGUUAGGUUUCUUUCAGUGAUUAACCAAUUUAUUAUAAUACUUGAUACAAGAUUAAGCUAUGCUGCACUAUAACAGGAGAAUCAAACUCCAGGAUUACUAUAAAACUAAUAGCUAAGACAAACCAUCAGCAAUCUCAGCCUUCUUAAAACAAAUGAUGCCAAAAUUGGCAAAAUGGAGUUUGCAUCUAAAAGCACAAUCUCUCCAAUCAUAUAUUUCGGAAAAAUGAAAGAAGCUAAAAACGGUUGAAAGAAAACGGAAAAGCAC
RNAcentral lists this long non-coding RNA (1700 nucleotides) under Ricinus communis (castor bean). RNAcentral describes it as "long non-coding RNA (RCOM_LNC001052)". Lineage: Eukaryota; Viridiplantae; Streptophyta; Magnoliopsida; Malpighiales; Euphorbiaceae. The record is from RNAcentral.